This is a long non-coding RNA of Capra hircus (goat), 1633 nucleotides long. The record is from Ensembl. Lineage: Eukaryota; Metazoa; Chordata; Mammalia; Artiodactyla; Bovidae.
ACCGCAACGUCGCACACCCGUACGGCCGGCCCCCCCCCCGACCCCGUCCUCUCCCCCAACCACCGGGGCCCCUACCCGUGCCCGCGUUCCCAGGCGCCCACCCCCACCCCCCGCCUGCCACCACCACCACCACCACCACCGAGGGCAGAGAGAGGGCUCCGACGGGAAGCGUGGCGCCAAUCGGGUAGGGGACACGACAGAGGCAUAUUCAAGAUCUUCUUAUCCUCUUCUUUCCCUUGAAAAUGCAACUCUGCUGCUGAUAGAUUGCCCUUGCUCCAAAUAUUCAAAAAAUUCAGGAAUGUGCAAAAGGUUUGAAGAGAUUUGAGAAUAGCCUGGUGGCUCAGAUGGUAAAGAAUCUGCCUGCAAUGCUGGAGACCUGGGUUCAGUCCCUGGGUAUGGAAGAUCCCCUGGAGAAGGGAAUGGCUACCCACUCCAAUAUUCUUGCCUGGAGAAUUCCGUGAACAGAGGAUCCUGGCAGGCUACAGGCCAUGAGGCUGCAAACAGUCAGACAUGACUGUGCAACUUUCACUUCUUUUUUUUUUUCUAAGUAAUUUAACUACUUUUCCUUACAUGCAUUGAAACAGUAGAAAGUAUCUUAGUUAAUGUCCACCUCACACCUUUCUGGAUUAACUAAUGUUCUUCUUCCUACUGUAAAUUAUAUAUACUGAUGUCUAGGACAACAUAAAUGUUUGGCAUUAGGAGAUUUCUCUUACAUAUACUUUGAUUCUUUUCAGGUGAAAAGCAUGUUGUUUUCAAACCCUAACUUGGGUUCCUGGAUCCUAAACCAACAUGGGUGUGUUAGGAGAAGGGGCUUCCCACUUCAGAAAACAAUUUCUGGAAACCAGCAAGGUAUCUAGGAAUUCAAAUCAACUGUGACACUGUCUCUUUGAAGUAAGCACCUGAUUCCAUAGGUUUAUGAUAUAGUCCCACAAGAUUGUCCACACAUACAUAUGUGAGUGGACAUAAAUAAAAUAUUGAAGUAUAUAUGUACUCUGAUUUUGCUUGACAACCUUUAUUCCACAUAUAUACUGUGUGUUAAAUUUACUUAACAGGCAAUGACUAUAUUUCUUUCAUUUCUGUUUAAGUCCAUUUUUUGUUGAGGGACAAUAGCAAAGUCUGUGUUGCUAUUGUUAAGAACAAGAAACUUGGCUUUUUUCCCCUAUAAUUUUCUGAAAGCUUAAAUAGUUUUUGAAAUUCACUAUCACUCUCCUUGUAAUAAUUGUGAUUUUAACAAAGCAAAACUAAAGGGUAGAAAUUAUACUGUUGUCUCUACUUUUACUAGAAAGAUCAAUCUCUUUGUGUUGAUUGAUUUUUUGUGUGUGGAAAGCAGGCUAAUUUUAUAUUAGCUAUUGCUGAAUGUAGUUAGAAAAAAUAAUAUUCUCAUCAAAAAUAAAAACUAGAAAGAAAGUAAGUAUGACAAAAAUAUUGUUUUAUUUAUGUUUCAAAUUUUGGAUAAUGUUUGCAGUGACCAAAAAAAGAGAAAUAUAUAUAUAUAUAUAUAUACAUCUUCUUUAUAUACACACAUCUUCUUUAUAUUCAGACAACACUUCUGAAGGGAGAAAUUUCUGACGUUUUUCCUUCUAAAUGUCCCUUUAUUAUAGUAUAGGUUUACAUAUUUAUGUUUCAAAAAGAG